This 2650-nucleotide ribosomal RNA is filed under the name Escherichia coli. Its description in RNAcentral is "partial 23S ribosomal RNA". It matches the Rfam family "Bacterial large subunit ribosomal RNA". The record is from RNAcentral. Lineage: Bacteria; Pseudomonadati; Pseudomonadota; Gammaproteobacteria; Enterobacterales; Enterobacteriaceae.
GAAACCCAGUGUGAUUCGUCACACUAUCAUUAACUGAAUCCAUAGGUUAAUGAGGCGAACCGGGGGAACUGAAACAUCUAAGUACCCCGAGGAAAAGAAAUCAACCGAGAUUCCCCCAGUAGCGGCGAGCGAACGGGGAGCAGCCCAGAGCCUGAAUCAGUGUGUGUGUUAGUGGAAGCGUCUGGAAAGGCGCGCGAUACAGGGUGACAGCCCCGUACACAAAAAUGCACAUGCUGUGAGCUCGAUGAGUAGGGCGGGACACGUGGUAUCCUGUCUGAAUAUGGGGGGACCAUCCUCCAAGGCUAAAUACUCCUGACUGACCGAUAGUGAACCAGUACCGUGAGGGAAAGGCGAAAAGAACCCCGGCGAGGGGAGUGAAAAAGAACCUGAAACCGUGUACGUACAAGCAGUGGGAGCCUCUUUAUGGGGUGACUGCGUACCUUUUGUAUAAUGGGUCAGCGACUUAUAUUCUGUAGCAAGGUUAACCGAAUAGGGGAGCCGAAGGGAAACCGAGUCUUAACUGGGCGUUAAGUUGCAGGGUAUAGACCCGAAACCCGGUGAUCUAGCCAUGGGCAGGUUGAAGGUUGGGUAACACUAACUGGAGGACCGAACCGACUAAUGUUGAAAAAUUAGCGGAUGACUUGUGGCUGGGGGUGAAAGGCCAAUCAAACCGGGAGAUAGCUGGUUCUCCCCGAAAGCUAUUUAGGUAGCGCCUCGUGAAUUCAUCUCCGGGGGUAGAGCACUGUUUCGGCAAGGGGGUCAUCCCGACUUACCAACCCGAUGCAAACUGCGAAUACCGGAGAAUGUUAUCACGGGAGACACACGGCGGGUGCUAACGUCCGUCGUGAAGAGGGAAACAACCCAGACCGCCAGCUAAGGUCCCAAAGUCAUGGUUAAGUGGGAAACGAUGUGGGAAGGCCCAGACAGCCAGGAUGUUGGCUUAGAAGCAGCCAUCAUUUAAAGAAAGCGUAAUAGCUCACUGGUCGAGUCGGCCUGCGCGGAAGAUGUAACGGGGCUAAACCAUGCACCGAAGCUGCGGCAGCGACGCUUAUGCGUUGUUGGGUAGGGGAGCGUUCUGUAAGCCUGUGAAGGUGUGCUGUGAGGCAUGCUGGAGGUAUCAGAAGUGCGAAUGCUGACAUAAGUAACGAUAAAGCGGGUGAAAAGCCCGCUCGCCGGAAGACCAAGGGUUCCUGUCCAACGUUAAUCGGGGCAGGGUGAGUCGACCCCUAAGGCGAGGCCGAAAGGCGUAGUCGAUGGGAAACAGGUUAAUAUUCCUGUACUUGGUGUUACUGCGAAGGGGGGACGGAGAAGGCUAUGUUGGCCGGGCGACGGUUGUCCCGGUUUAAGCGUGUAGGCUGGUUUUCCAGGCAAAUCCGGAAAAUCAAGGCUGAGGCGUGAUGACGAGGCACUACGGUGCUGAAGCAACAAAUGCCCUGCUUCCAGGAAAAGCCUCUAAGCAUCAGGUAACAUCAAAUCGUACCCCAAACCGACACAGGUGGUCAGGUAGAGAAUACCAAGGCGCUUGAGAGAACUCGGGUGAAGGAACUAGGCAAAAUGGUGCCGUAACUUCGGGAGAAGGCACGCUGAUAUGUAGGUGAGGUCCCUCGCGGAUGGAGCUGAAAUCAGUCGAAGAUACCAGCUGGCUGCAACUGUUUAUUAAAAACACAGCACUGUGCAAACACGAAAGUGGACGUAUACGGUGUGACGCCUGCCCGGUGCCGGAAGGUUAAUUGAUGGGGUUAGCGGUAACGCGAAGCUCUUGAUCGAAGCCCCGGUAAACGGCGGCCGUAACUAUAACGGUCCUAAGGUAGCGAAAUUCCUUGUCGGGUAAGUUCCGACCUGCACGAAUGGCGUAAUGAUGGCCAGGCUGUCUCCACCCGAGACUCAGUGAAAUUGAACUCGCUGUGAAGAUGCAGUGUACCCGCGGCAAGACGGAAAGACCCCGUGAACCUUUACUAUAGCUUGACACUGAACAUUGAGCCUUGAUGUGUAGGAUAGGUGGGAGGCUUUGAAGUGUGGACGCCAGUCUGCAUGGAGCCGACCUUGAAAUACCACCCUUUAAUGUUUGAUGUUCUAACGUUGACCCGUAAUCCGGGUUGCGGACAGUGUCUGGUGGGUAGUUUGACUGGGGCGGUCUCCUCCUAAAGAGUAACGGAGGAGCACGAAGGUUGGCUAAUCCUGGUCGGACAUCAGGAGGUUAGUGCAAUGGCAUAAGCCAGCUUGACUGCGAGCGUGACGGCGCGAGCAGGUGCGAAAGCAGGUCAUAGUGAUCCGGUGGUUCUGAAUGGAAGGGCCAUCGCUCAACGGAUAAAAGGUACUCCGGGGAUAACAGGCUGAUACCGCCCAAGAGUUCAUAUCGACGGCGGUGUUUGGCACCUCGAUGUCGGCUCAUCACAUCCUGGGGCUGAAGUAGGUCCCAAGGGUAUGGCUGUUCGCCAUUUAAAGUGGUACGCGAGCUGGGUUUAGAACGUCGUGAGACAGUUCGGUCCCUAUCUGCCGUGGGCGCUGGAGAACUGAGGGGGGCUGCUCCUAGUACGAGAGGACCGGAGUGGACGCAUCACUGGUGUUCGGGUUGUCAUGCCAAUGGCACUGCCCGGUAGCUAAAUGCGGAAGAGAUAAGUGCUGAAAGCAUCUAAGCACGAAACUUGCC